GAUGAACGCUGGCGGCGUGCCUAAUACAUGCAAGUCGAGCGAACAGACGAGGAGCUUGCUCCUCUGACGUUAGCGGCGGACGGGUGAGUAACACGUGGAUAACCUACCUAUAAGACUGGGAUAACUUCGGGAAACCGGAGCUAAUACCGGAUAAUAUAUUGAACCGCAUGGUUCAAUAGUGAAAGACGGUUUUGCUGUCACUUAUAGAUGGAUCCGCGCCGCAUUAGCUAGUUGGUAAGGUAACGGCUUACCAAGGCAACGAUGCGUAGCCGACCUGAGAGGGUGAUCGGCCACACUGGAGCGUAGACACGGUCCAGACUACUACGGGAGGCAGCAGUAGGGAAUCGUCCGCAAUGGGCGAAAGCCUGACGGAGCAACGCCGCGUGAGUGAUGAAGGUCUUCGGAUCGUAAAACUCUGUUAUUAGGGAAGAACAAAUGUGUAAGUAACUAUGCACGUCUUGACGGUACCUAAUCAGAAAGCCACGGCUAACUACGUG
RNAcentral lists this ribosomal RNA (497 nucleotides) under uncultured bacterium. Its description in RNAcentral is "partial 16S ribosomal RNA". It matches the Rfam family "Bacterial small subunit ribosomal RNA", at positions 28 to 507 of the family's 1533-position model. The record is from RNAcentral.